RNAcentral lists this ribosomal RNA (873 nucleotides) under Triticum aestivum (bread wheat). RNAcentral's name for it is "partial small subunit ribosomal RNA". Lineage: Eukaryota; Viridiplantae; Streptophyta; Magnoliopsida; Poales; Poaceae. The record is from RNAcentral.
AUGCACCGGCAUAUUCGACAACAAAAUCUCUGCAAGAUUUGUCUGGCUUCGCAGGAGAACCUAUUGCAUGCACUCUUGGAGUGUUCACAUGCGAGACAGUUCUGGGAAGAGGCGCAGCAACUCUUCGACUUCAAGCUACCGCGGCUCCAUCCUGUGACCUGGGCCGAAGACAUCAUUUGUGAUGACCGCCUUACUUCCAGGGACCGAGCAGUGGCCGUUUCGGUCAUGUGGUCCAUUUGGCACUCGAGAAACAGAUUGACACAUGGUGAGGAUCAGCUCGAUCCGGCAAGCUCUGUACGACGCACUCGGGAGGCGUUAUCCCUUCUUGAGGUGCCGCGGCAACUAGCACUGAUCAUGCCUGGGCAUGGGUGGCGGCCGCCCGACGCGGGUUUCGUCACUAUCAACACUGAUGCGGCAAUCAAACGAGAAGAUGGCAAAGCAGGAGCAGGGGGCGUCGCCCGAUCCUCUUGCUCAUUUCUAGGAGCAUGGAGCAAGCCAUACUCCGGAGUUACGGAUCCCUUCAUUGCAGAGGCGAUGGCAGUGCGUGACGGAGUUAUCUUCGCAAGCUUGAGGGGUUAUUCACAUGUCAUUGUGGAGACGGACUGCUCGGAGGUCGCCAACCGCUGGACCACUCGCCACGACUCUCGAUCGGUCGUGGCACCUAUUUUGUUAGAAAUUGGAGAGCUCUCUGGUAGUUUCACUUUUUUUGAUAUUUUUGAAUUCAAGGCGGCAAGAUCGGCUAACGGUCCUGCUCAUCUUUGUGCUAAGCAAGCUUGCACAAUUGACGUGACCGAAAGCUGGAUCGAAAGUACUCCUAGCUUCCUGAUCAGUAGCCUCUUGGCAGACUGCCCAGCGAACGCUUUUAAGCAAUAA